UCCUGUAUGGUCCAGCGGUGAGGAUUCCUGGUCUUCACCCAGGCGGCCCGGGUUUGACUCCCACUAUGGGAA
This is a non-coding RNA of Bos taurus (domestic cattle), 72 nucleotides long. The record is from Rfam. NCBI's taxonomy places the organism in Eukaryota, Metazoa, Chordata, Mammalia, Artiodactyla, Bovidae.